CGAGUCGGACGGGCGGUCGCGUCGGUGGCCGAGAGGUCGCCGCCGAGGAAAGUCCGGACUCCGAAGGGCAGGGUGGUGGGUAACACCCACCCGGGGUGACCCGCGGGACAGUGCCACAGAGAACAGACCGCCGGGCGGCGCGAGCCGGCCGGUAAGGGUGAAACGGUGGUGUAAGAGACCACCAGCGUGCCGGGUGACCGGUGCGGCUCGGUAAACCCCACCCGGAGCAAGACCGAACAGGGAGCGCCCGAGGGCUGCCCGCCCGAGCUCCCGGGUAGGUCGCUGGAGGGCGUCGGCAACGGCGCCCCGAGAUGGAUGGCCGCCGCCUCCGGUCCGCCGGAGGCACAGGAUCCGGCUUACAGUCCGGCUCGUCCG
RNAcentral lists this RNase P RNA (375 nucleotides) under Actinomycetota bacterium. Its description in RNAcentral is "Actinobacteria bacterium RNase P RNA component class A". It matches the Rfam family "Bacterial RNase P class A". Rfam says of the family: Ribonuclease P (RNase P) is a ubiquitous endoribonuclease, found in archaea, bacteria and eukarya as well as chloroplasts and mitochondria. The record is from RNAcentral. Lineage: Bacteria; Bacillati; Actinomycetota.